UGACGUCAAGUCAUCAUGGCCCUUACGCCUAGGGCUACACACGUACUACAAUGGUGGGUACAAAGGGCAGCAAAACCGCGAGGUCGAGCGAAUCUCAAAAAACCCAUCAUAGUCCGGAUUGCAGUCUGCAACUCGACUGCAUGAAGUUGGAAUCGCUAGUAAUCCCGGAUCAGCAUGCCGGGGUCGAAUACGUUCCCGGGCCUU
Molecule: ribosomal RNA, 204 nt
Filed under: uncultured Desulfomicrobium sp.
Lineage: Bacteria; Pseudomonadati; Thermodesulfobacteriota; Desulfovibrionia; Desulfovibrionales; Desulfomicrobiaceae
Description: partial 16S ribosomal RNA
Rfam family: Bacterial small subunit ribosomal RNA
Source: RNAcentral